Molecule: ribosomal RNA, 645 nt
Filed under: Triticum aestivum (bread wheat)
Lineage: Eukaryota; Viridiplantae; Streptophyta; Magnoliopsida; Poales; Poaceae
Description: partial small subunit ribosomal RNA
Source: RNAcentral
AUGCUUAGAAGAAUGUACCAAGGUGGUUCCUUGGUGAAGAAAGGGCCCAGGAUUGCUAUACGUGAGCAAGAUGUUGAAUUGCCAAGGGACGCGGAUGUACGAGCUUGUGAGUGGCCAUCUGCUAAUUUUAUGGCCGAAGCAGACUUUAAGGAGGAAUUUGACACGUUUGUCCGUAAUGCCGAGCUGGAGGACUUCUUACAAGAUAAGUGUCCUCAGUACUAUCAAUUGACUGACUCCUUUGUGUGGAGGUUUAAAUAUAACUGUGUGCGUAAUUCUCCUAGUGUCAUAUUUGAUAUUUAUGAUACAUCUUAUACCAUGGACUUAGAGGAUUUUACAACUGCUUGCAAACUCCCGCAGUGGGGUAAUAUUAAUGAUCCUCACAAAUCUGAAUUUAGAGAUUUCCUUGCUAGUAUUAUUAUGGGAGAAUCCAGGGAUAUUGCACAAGCUACCAGAGGGAGCAUUCAUUUUCCUGCUAUACAUUAUUUUGCUCUCUCCAUUGGUAGAUACAUUAAUGGUAAAGACGAAGCAUGUCACAUGUGUGUCCCUGAUCUGUGUAUCCUCAAGAGUGCUGUGUUAGGAUAUAAAGGUUAUAACUUGGGGGAUUACGUAUUUCUCACUCACUUUACAUUCACGUUCACACACUAG